CGGGGGGGGCAAGCGUUGUUCGGAAUUACUGGGCGUAAAGGGUUUGUAGGUGGCUUGUUAAGUCAGACGUGAAAUCCCUCAGCUUAACUGGGGAACUGCGUCUGAUACUGGUGAGCUUGAGUGCAGGAGAGGAACGCGGAAUUCCAGGUGUAGCGGUGAAAUGCGUAGAUAUCUGGAGGAACACCGGUGGCGAAGGCGGCGUUCUGGACUGCAACUGACACUGAAAAACGAAAGCCAGGGGAGCAAACGGGAUUAGAUACCCCGGUAGUCCUGGCCCUAAACGAUGAAUGCUUGGUGUGGCGGGUAUCGAUCCCUGCCGUGCCGCAGUUAACGCGUUAAGCAUUCCGCCUGGGGAGUACGGUCGCAAGGCUG
Molecule: ribosomal RNA, 372 nt
Filed under: uncultured organism
Description: bacterial SSU rRNA
Rfam family: Bacterial small subunit ribosomal RNA
Source: RNAcentral